Molecule: long non-coding RNA, 2358 nt
Organism: Lytechinus variegatus (green sea urchin)
Lineage: Eukaryota; Metazoa; Echinodermata; Echinoidea; Temnopleuroida; Toxopneustidae
Exons: 2
Source: RefSeq, a predicted model, not a curated record
UAAACCUUCCCCUAAGAGUCAGGGAGUCUAUCUGUUUUUUGUUUAAUCUAAAUUUAUCUUUGUAUGUGGAGUGAUAAUAGCCAUGUAAAAUGUUUUACAAGAAAUAUCAGAAUAAGAGUGAUUUGUUAGGGUUAAGGUGUGUAGUCAGUAUUGUGUCAUUGAAAAUAAAAUGUUAAUAAAAUGAUCCAAGAGAUCAGCACUUCUGUCUUUCAAGACUUAAAUAUACCAGGGCGCCAGAGAGACGAAGAUUGAAGAAGUCCUUUGGGAAUUUCUCAAGAGAACUCCAUAUCUUCCAGGAGGGAGGAAAUGGAAGGUAAAUUCCUUUUUCUUUUUUUUUUUACUUUUUUUAUUAUGUGGAUUUUUAUCAAAAUACAUAUUAUGUUGUAAGAUAAUACCAGAUCAAUUUACAAUUUCAAAGGGCCUUUAACCUUUUUUGACCAUAUCAAUUGCAUAACUAUGUCCGAUUUUGAUGAUAUCUAAAAUGUUUUUUUUUAUACUUCUCUGCAGUCUGGAAAGAAGUUUGACGGGCACCUACCCAAUCUUGCCAAAUUCAAAAGCCAUCAGCCAUCAUGCCCUAUAUGUUUGAGGUACAAUGUGCACCUGAGAAGCAUACAGCCGGAUUUCAAGGAACCUAUUGUGGAUGAACUCCCUCCUACCUCGCACCAAGCAACACUUUCAAGUUCCACACAGGGCCCAACCAUUGCAUCAUCAAGUCGUGUCCUCUUCAGUGACAGUGUGCCUGAUCCAGGUAUGGGUAAACAUGGAAGGAAACGUGUCUGGUCUGCUAGAGCCAGUCUAAAAGAUGCUGGACGAGAUUAUGCACGAAGCAGGACUAAGGAAGCAGAUACCUUCAUCGCAGACUACUGUGUAAAGCGCAACGAAAAUAAGGCUGAUCUGCUGUACUUUCUCCUGACAGAAGAUCUGCGCAGUUCCGAUGAUCAUCGUCUCAAGGAAAUGAGUAAUAUCAUACUAUCAAGCUCUUUUUGGGGAGGGGUUUUGAGUUCUAAAAAUAAAGCAAAAAAACCAACAUUUUUUAUCACUCUCACCUGGUACGAAAUAGUAUCGACAUUCCUCCACAAGAAUUGACAAAAAAGUAAAAAAUGUUUUUCCAUGGGAGAGAGAUAGUAUUGGGAAUCAUGUGCACCAAAAAGUUUUUCAUUUUAACAACUAUAGGCUGUUAUUUUUAUCAGGGGGGGUGCCCAUGAACCAACGAUUGUUAUUGAAAUUGCCAAUUUGUCUAUUGCCAACUCGUCCACACUCAUCACUUAGUCUUCCUCAUUUAGCCUCUAAUUCCAUUCUGCCCAGUGUCCAUCAAUAUUUUGUCUAACAACCAUUGCAUUUUGUCAAGUAACCAUUUGGUGCAAUAAUCACUUCAUCUAAUCACCAAUUCGUCAAUAACCAUUUCCUCUCAUAAACAGUUGGUCUAAUACCCAUUUUCUUUUCAAUCAUCUCGCCCAAUUAUACCAAAUGGUAUAUCGUGGACUAAAAUGGCUAUUGGACCACUGGUAUUCAGACGAAAUGGCAAUUAAAACAUGUUGAUAGUGGGCGAACUACUGGUCGGCUAAAUGAUAGUAGACGAGUUGGCCAUUGGACGAGUUGGCAUGAGACCAAUUGAAAAUAAACCGUUUGUAUGGCCUUGAUUAUGAAAGAAUGCAGGAAAACCUCUUUGAAAUUUAAAGGACUAGCUAGCUCACAGUGACAAUAUAGGUCUGUAUGUUAUGUGCUGUCUUGGGUUAUGUAAUGAUGUCAUCCUCAUGUGUCUUUCAAUAUGAUUUUCGUUAUCAUAGAGUACCAAAGUGAUGACGUCACAAUGCCAUAGCCAUGUAAAAUGUUUUACAAGAAAUAUCAGAAUAAGAGUGAUUUGUUAGGGUUAAGGUGUGUAAUCAGUAUUGUCUCUGUGUCACAGACAAGGACAACGAGAAAGCCCAGCAUUUUGAAGACAUUCUCAAGACUCCAACUGGAUCAUUACCCACCCCAAAGACUCUAAACAAUUGGAUUUCAGAAGCCAAUAUCAUGGCCGCCAACUAUGGCAUUUGAUAUAGGAAAAUACCUGGACUCAAUUCAUGACAUUCCUCUUCGUCGAAGACUGAUAUCAGACUACAAAGACCAGAGGACAUAUAGAUAUUUCGCAUCAGGGUGGUUGGAGGAAAUCCAUAACCAUCCUAUUGAUGAUAAGACCAAUUACUCUUUCAUGAAAACGAAAUGUAAUCCUUCCCCAAGAGUCAUGGAGUCUAUCUGUUUUAAAUUUAUCUCUGUAUGUCGAGUGAUAAUAGCCACGUAAAAUGUUUUACAAGAAAUACAUGUAUAAGAAUAAGAGUGAUUUGUUAGGGUUAAGGUGUGUAGUCAGUAUUGUGUCAU